RNAcentral lists this ribosomal RNA (301 nucleotides) under uncultured bacterium. RNAcentral's name for it is "partial 16S ribosomal RNA". It matches the Rfam family "Bacterial small subunit ribosomal RNA", at positions 509 to 807 of the family's 1533-position model. The record is from RNAcentral.
CAGUAGCCACGGUAAUACGUAGGGUGCGAGCGUUAAUCGGAAUUACUGGGCGUAAAACGUGCGCAGGCGGUUUUGUAAGACAGGCGUGAAAUCCCCGGGCUCAACCUGGGAAUGGCGCUUGUGACUGCAAAGCUAGAGUGCGGCAGAGGGGGAUGGAAUUCCGCGUGUAGCAGUGAAAUGCGUAGAUAUGCGGAGGAACACCGAUGGCGAAGGCAAUCCCCUUGGCCUGCACUGACGCUCAUGCACGAAAGCGUGGGGAGCAAACAGGAUUAGAUACCCCAGUAGUCCCUGUCUCUUAUAC